UGAAAGCGCGGAAGACGAAAUGAACCAAUGUAGCGAAACCAAAUCAGAUAAAUAUUUAUAGAAAGUCGGCAUGAAGUCUGUGGUGCUUUUCAAAUUGAAUGAAAAAAAUAUCGAAAUAUAUCGAAAUAGGAACAUAUAAAGACCGCUGCCUCACGAAAAGUCGGAUUGUUUUAAAUAUCAUAACAUUUUGCUGGCGAUUCCAAAAAUAUCCGAGUUCAUGCACACGUAUAGUGUAUCGAACUGUUUUCCACCGUCCAACGAUACGAUGUUAUAAAACGCGAGCAAAAUAUAAUAUCGUUAAUAAGCAUUAGCUAAUGAUUCCGACACCUCAUUAUGCGUGUUAUUAGCGUAGGUGGCAUUCAAAUUUCAUCGAUGUUACAUCAUCGUUUUAUAAAAAAGUAUUUCCCAUGCGUUUACACGAAUACACUAUUAAUAUUGUUGUGUUUUAAAUACCAGCUCGAAGCCUCGAAGAAGAAUCGCGCGAACAACUUUCGGGCAGGCCUAAGACGAUAAAUCCCAUACUCAAUUUUUGAGAGGGGGGGGGGUUGGAAGAUUUCGAAAAAAAUUUCCUGCAAUCCAAGGAGAAAGAGAAAAAAAUCAUGCAGCAUACAAUCGAGAAAUAAAAAUAUCAUGCAAAA
Non-coding RNA from Paramuricea clavata, 638 nucleotides. The record is from the annotation of a GenBank genome assembly. NCBI's taxonomy places the organism in Eukaryota, Metazoa, Cnidaria, Anthozoa, Malacalcyonacea, Plexauridae.